This 589-nucleotide unclassified non-coding RNA is filed under the name Hevea brasiliensis (rubber tree). Lineage: Eukaryota; Viridiplantae; Streptophyta; Magnoliopsida; Malpighiales; Euphorbiaceae. The record is from RNAcentral.
CUGCAUCACCAUACAUUCCAAGCUCACAGCAACAGUUGAGAAGAGAAUUGUAAAUAUCUUCACUGGGACACAUUCCUUGUUCAUUCAUAUGAUCAAACAACCUCUGAGCCACUCCCACGCGCCCCACUUUGCAAAGUCCUAUGAUGAGCUUUCCGUAUGUGUUAACAUUAGGUGAACAGCCACGUUCCAGCAUUUUAUCAAAAAGCUGCAGAGCAGUUUCAAAUUCCAUGGUCUUCCACACAUCGGCAACAUCAACAAAGGAGAUAUUUGGAACCAAAUCUAGUCCAGCAUUGUUGUUCUCCUUUAUUAGCUUUUCCCUAGAAAGAUGCUUGAUUAAAAAAGAAUAGGUAUGAUGAGAGGGAUCGCAGCCAGUAUCAAACAUUUGCUUAAGAACAUCAAAGGCUCGAUGUAAUAAUCCUAAACAUCCAUACGCAUCAAUUAACAAUGUGUAAGUCAGAGCAUCAGGCAUAACGCCACUUUCAACCAUUCUAGCCAUCAUAUCCUCUGCCUCUUUUAAAUUCCCUGUGCCACAAUAUGAAUGAACAAAUGCAGUGUAAAUAUACACAUCAGGCUGGUUUCCUGAGGAAAC